CAGUAGCCGCGGUAAAACGUAGGGUGCAAGCGUUAUCCGGAAUUAUUGGGCGUAAGGAGCCCGUAGGCGGUUUGUCGCGUCUGCUGUGAAAACUGGAGGCUCAACCUCCAGCCUGCAGUGGGUACGGGCAGACUAGAGUGCGGUAGGGGAGAUUGGAAUUCCUGGUGUAGCGGUGGAAUGCGCAGAUAUCAGGAGGAACACCGAUGGCGAAGGCAGAUCUCUGGGCCGUAACUGACGCUGAGGAGCGAAAGCAUGGGGAGCGAACAGGAUUAGAUACCCCUGUAGUCCCUGUCUCUUAUAC
Molecule: ribosomal RNA, 301 nt
Filed under: uncultured bacterium
Lineage: Bacteria
Description: partial 16S ribosomal RNA
Rfam family: Bacterial small subunit ribosomal RNA
Source: RNAcentral